RNAcentral lists this unclassified non-coding RNA (279 nucleotides) under plant metagenome. RNAcentral's name for it is "partial contains small subunit ribosomal RNA, internal transcribed spacer 1, and 5.8S ribosomal RNA". The record is from RNAcentral.
UCUCCGUUGGUGAACCAGCGGAGGGAUCAUUACAGAGUUUCCAAACUCCAAACCAUUUUUAACCUACCCAUAUUGUCUCCUCCACGCGACCUCCUCCGGGAUUCACUGCUCCCGAUCGCUGCGCUUGCCGGGGACCCCAGCAUCCUUCAUUUUUGUGUCUUCCCGCUGACUGCUAAACUCUUUAUAUUUUAAAACUCUCAACGACAAAACAAAUAUAACUGAAAACUUUCAAGAACGCAUCUGAUGGUUCUGGCAUCCAUGAAGACCGCAGCAGAUCGG